Molecule: long non-coding RNA, 930 nt
Organism: Conger conger (European conger)
Lineage: Eukaryota; Metazoa; Chordata; Actinopteri; Anguilliformes; Congridae
Exons: 3
Source: RefSeq, a predicted model, not a curated record
GCGGAAAUGCCCGGUGACAGCGGGCAAAGGGAGAGACUGGAACGCUCGACGGACUUUCUCCAUCAGCGGGCUGUUUGAGGAGCGCGGAGGAGGCUGUGCGGAGAGACCACCCAUCCUCUUCAAAACGUCUCUGCUGCCGCGGCCAGAGAGAGGGGCACUCAGAGCCACGGAGUGGCAUUGUCCCACCAUAGCCCAGGCAGCCACGGAAAGGGUCACGGGUCAUGAUAAUCUUGGGAUGAGCCACACCAAUCCGCAUACAUGCAUCGCUAAUGCGUAAAGUUACAGAUGCAGAGGAAUACUGAAGCACAACCACCUGGAUACUGCCAUGGAAUGAAUGUCCGGAUUUUCUGCUUGGACUUUUCAUAGAUGCCCUGAUGUGAUCUCAGAUUGAUCAGUUUAUCUGAGUUCAAAAUGAUCUGUUGAAAUGAGCAUUGAUGGACCAACUGACAUGAACUGAGAUGGACCCACCAAUCCGAGUUAAGAGUGAUGCGUUCAAUUGCAUUUUGGAAUAUGCAGGAAUGGAUGUGAUCCGGCUCAAAUGGAUUCACUGAUGUGACCCCAGAUGUAUCCAAAAAAGCUUAGAAAGUCCAGUAUACGCUUCUUUAGACUAGAUUGCAGUAGCCUAAAUGGCACUGGACAGGAAACAUACGUAUCACUACACAUUCUGUACUUCUUUUAGAUGUCCUCUGCACCAAUUGUAUGUUUGUGCUUUUCUUAUUAAGAGUAGGCUAUGAAUGCAUUUGUUAUGGAACUGAUAUGUUCAAAAUCUUGCCCUUUUUUCUCUGUUUUCAAAGAAAAGCAAAGAAAAGGUUUUGAAAGCACUUGAUUUCCCCAAGCUUCAUGGUCUGAAGAGGCCGAGAGGCUGUGUAAUGUGUCACAUUUUGUAUGGGUGACUCACUUUUGCCAAUUCAGUGGACUUUAAGGCUUUAA